RNAcentral lists this ribosomal RNA (1161 nucleotides) under Triticum aestivum (bread wheat). RNAcentral describes it as "partial small subunit ribosomal RNA". The record is from RNAcentral. Lineage: Eukaryota; Viridiplantae; Streptophyta; Magnoliopsida; Poales; Poaceae.
GCGGAGAGGUGAGUGAGAAGUGCAAAGGGAAUAGGUAGGGAUGCCGGGGUUGAGGGAGCAGUGGCCAGCCUGCUGCUUGGUUCGUCGUCGGGCGCUAGGGCUCGUCCCUGCGGGUUGUGGGUGGAGGAAGCUGCACGCGGCAGAAGAGGCCGGCGGCGGCCCCUAAACGUCGGUGGCCUGCCACUCCAAGAGAGUGGGCGCUGACCGGAACCCGCGGAAGUACGGGCGAGGAGAAGUCGAGACACCUAGACGUAGCGCGCGGCUGCGGCUACCGGGACCUCGGCGGCGCUAAGACCAGCCGCGGUGUUCCACCUCCACGUAAGGACCACCACCGGCUCGCGGCGUGGCGGCGGACGGGGCGGCGCCGCCUGCUGCUCCGGUGGAGGAGAGCAGCUCCAGAAGUGCGCUGCCAUUGGCAGUACGGAGGUGGCGCGAGACCCAGUCGUAGGAAGACGUUCGAGGAGCGGCUGGACGAGCUCUACGGCGGCACCCUUCUCUCGACUCGCGGCGGACGAGAGGAUGCGACUGCGCCGACCGCAGCCCCGACGGAUAGACACGCACUAGGAGCGCGCGACGUCGCUCGUGGUCCGGCGGCGCGAGGGCCACUUACGUCGAUGGAUACCUGGCUUCCAUUUAACGGUAGCAAAGGGGAGACGGUGGUGGGCGGUACGGGGUGUCGCAACCUCCUCCAGCUCCCUCAAGCUCGAGCUGGUAGUGCCGUGUGUACGUGUACCGGGGACGACCGUAACUGUGGGAGGGGACGUCCAUUAUGAAGUGAAGGGGGUAACUUUAACGAGAUGUGAAGGUAGUCAUGAGGUCUUAGCAUCAGUAAAUCAACUUCUAGACGAGGAUCAAACACUUAGGAGACAAUAAUUAGAAGUCUUUGUUUCGUAUGUUCUCUUAAUGAGAAAGUCGUUCACUUCUCGAUGAAAAUAAACACUACUACGUUUUUCCUCAGGUGUAGGGAUGAUAGAACAUCGGAUGUCGUCGUGUUGAACUGAGUGACUACUUCUAUUAUGGUCACAAAAACCUCAAUAAAGAGUGACGUGAUUACUUAAACUCGUGAUAGAACAUAACAUAGUAAAUAGAUCAGUGAUAUAGAUAAACACGGUGGUGUUACAACAAUGGAAUAGGACAAGAGUGAGACCAGGGCAAGACUAC